Molecule: ribosomal RNA, 466 nt
Filed under: uncultured bacterium
Lineage: Bacteria
Description: partial 16S ribosomal RNA
Rfam family: Bacterial small subunit ribosomal RNA
Source: RNAcentral
CUACGGGGUGCAGCAAUGGGGAAUAUUGGACAAUGGGGGAAACCCUGAUCCAGCAAUGCCGCGUGUGUGAAGAAGGCCUGCGGGUUGUAAAGCACUUUCGGUUGGGAGGACUGCUUCUAGCACUAAUAUUGUUGGAAGUUGACGUUACCUUCAGAAGAAGCACCGGCUAACUCCGUGCCAGCAGCCGCGGUAAUAGCGGAGGGUGCAAGCGUUAAUCGGAAUUACUGGGCGUAAAGCGCGCGUAGGCGGCUAGAUCAGUCGGGUGUGAAAGCCCCGGGCUUAACCUGGGAACUGCAUCCGAUACUGUCUAGCUUGAGUACAGGAGAGGAGAGUGGAAUUCCACAUGUAGCGGUGAAAUGCGUAGAUAUGUGGAGGAACACCAAUGGCGAAGGCAGCUCUCUGGCCUGAUACUGACGCUGAGGUGCGAAAGCGUGGGGAGCAAACAGGAUUAGAUACCCCAGUAGUC